GAUGAACGCUGGCGGCGUGCCUAAUACAUGCAAGUCGAGCGAACGGACGAGAAGCUUGCUUCUCUGAUGUUAGCGGCGGACGGGUGAGUAACACGUGGAUAACCUACCUAUAAGACUGGGAUAACUUCGGGAAACCGGAGCUAAUACCGGAUGAUAUUUUGAACCGCAUGGCUCAAAAGUGAAAGACGGUCUUGCUGUCACUUAUAGAUGGAUCCGCGCUGCAUUAGCUAGUUGGUAAGGUAACGGCUUACCAAGGCAACGAUGCAUAGCCGACCUGAGAGGGUGAUCGGCCACACUGGAACUGAGACACGGUCCAGACUCCUACGGGAGGCAGCAGUAGGGAAUCUUCCGCAAUGGGCGAAAGCCUGACGGAGCAACGCCGCGUGAGUGAUGAAGGUCUUCGGAUCGUAAAACUCUGUUAUUAGGGAAGAACAUAUGUGUAAGUAACUGUGCACAUCUUGACGGUACCUAAGCAGAAAGCCACGGCUAACUACGU
RNAcentral lists this ribosomal RNA (496 nucleotides) under uncultured bacterium. Its description in RNAcentral is "partial 16S ribosomal RNA". It matches the Rfam family "Bacterial small subunit ribosomal RNA", at positions 28 to 506 of the family's 1533-position model. The record is from RNAcentral.